Molecule: ribosomal RNA, 424 nt
Filed under: uncultured cyanobacterium
Lineage: Bacteria; Bacillati; Cyanobacteriota
Description: bacterial SSU rRNA
Rfam family: Bacterial small subunit ribosomal RNA
Source: RNAcentral
GGGGAAUUUUCCGCAAUGGGCGAAAGCCUGACGGAGCAAGACCGCGUGGGGGAAGAAGGCUCUUGGGUUGUCAACCCCUUUUCUCAGGGAAGAAGUUCUGACGGCACCUGAGGAAUAAGCAUCGGCUAACUCCGUGCCAGCAGCCGCGGUAAGACGGAGGAUGCAAGCGUUAUCCGGAAUUAUUGGGCGUAAAGCGUCCGUAGGUGGCUUUUCAAGUCGGCGGUCAAAGACCGGGGCUUAACUCCGGAAAGGCCGUGGAAACUGAAAGGCUAGAGAAAGGUAGGGGUAGGGGGAAUUCCCGGUGUAGCGGUGAAAUGCGUAGAGAUCGGGAAGAACACCGGUGGCGAAAGCGCCCUACUGGACCUUAUCUGACACUGAGGGACGAAAGCUAGGGGAGCGAAAGGGAUUAGAUACCCCAGUAGUC